GUCCCAUCUCAGAUGUCACCUCUUCAUAGGGCUCUUCUCUGAUCGCCCUAAUGUCCCUCAUUACUCAGGGGCACUCUUGUUCUAUCUUAUGUCCCAUUCACGCCCUUGUUUGUGCUGUAGCCUGCACGCCCCUGGCACAACAGCAGUGUGAGGAGAGCACCCUCACUCCUCUGCCCUCCUCCACUCCCCAGGGCUGGCAACAAGGCUGCACAACACAGGCUCUCAGCAAACACGUGUGCAGUGAGCAGACGGCAAGACCAGGAGGCAAGCCAGAGCCAGAUGUUCCCGGGAACAGAAUCUGGACCUUAUACAAAAGAUACAACAAAACUGGAUUUACGUGGUGAGGAGUGCAUCGUUAGGAGAUUCACCUGAUGUGAAGGAGUCAGACUGCAGAUGGCAGAAAGGGAGAGCCGUUUAGAGAACCACUGCAACACCCAAACGAGACGGAGUGCUUGUUCAUCUGAUGGUGAAUGGGCCGUGAGUUUCCGAACCUGUUGCCGUGGUAACAUGCUCAGCAAGAGCGAAAAGUGGUCGGUGACUCUUCUUUUCCUUCGCCUGCCAGAGCAGACACAGCCUUCAUCCUUCUUCAGAUGUUGUUCUGUCACCACAAAUCAUGAUGGUCAGUUCGCAAAGAGGUUGGAAAAGAAGCAGAGAAUGACAGUUGCCCGGUCAGCAUUCCUCGGCUCAUCUCAAGGCUAUGUGUAAUCUACUGAAAGCUGAUGUCACCUUCAAACUACAACGAUUGGACCCCAUGAUUUGAACAUAAAAUAAGAAAAAAAGCCUUCUAGACAUGUGAUUUCUAAUGACUUUCAUGGGCUAGUCAGCCUGUAGGAUGGCUUAGAAAGAUAAUUUAGUGAAUAGUAAUUC
This 867-nucleotide long non-coding RNA is filed under the name Fukomys damarensis (Damara mole-rat). RNAcentral's name for it is "lncRNA (ENSFDAG00000021854.1)". The record is from RNAcentral. Lineage: Eukaryota; Metazoa; Chordata; Mammalia; Rodentia; Bathyergidae.